This 253-nucleotide ribosomal RNA is filed under the name uncultured bacterium. Its description in RNAcentral is "partial 16S ribosomal RNA". It matches the Rfam family "Bacterial small subunit ribosomal RNA", at positions 524 to 776 of the family's 1533-position model. The record is from RNAcentral.
UACGUAGGUGGCAAGCGUUGUCCGGAAUUAUUGGGCGUAAAGCGCGCGCAGGUGGUUUCUUAAGUCUGAUGUGAAAUCCCACGGCUCAACCGUGGAGGGUCAUUGGAAACUGGGGAACUUGAGUGCAGGAGAGAAGAGUGGAAUUCCACGUGUAGCGGUGAAAUGCGUAGAGAUGUGGAGGAACACCAGUGGCGAAGGCGACUCCUUGGACCGUAACUGACACUGAGGCGCGAAAGCGUGGGGAGCAAACAGG